GACAGAGGUCCCGAGCGUUAGGCGGAAUCACUGGGCUUAAAGCGUGUGUAGGCGUACUUCUAAGUACCUUGUGAAAUCCCACGGCUUAACCGUGGAACUGCUUGGUAUACUGGUUGUCUUGGGCCAUCUAGGGGCUACUGGAACAAACGGUGGAGCGGUGAAAUGCGUAGAUAUCGUCAGGAACGCCGAUGGUGAAGACAGGUGACUGGGCUAGUUCUGACACUGAGGCACGAAAGCGUGGGGAGCGAACGGG
RNAcentral lists this ribosomal RNA (253 nucleotides) under uncultured bacterium. RNAcentral's name for it is "partial 16S ribosomal RNA". It matches the Rfam family "Bacterial small subunit ribosomal RNA", at positions 524 to 776 of the family's 1533-position model. The record is from RNAcentral.